RNAcentral lists this long non-coding RNA (314 nucleotides) under Cricetulus griseus (Chinese hamster). Its description in RNAcentral is "lncRNA (ENSCGRG00015039645.1)". The record is from RNAcentral. Lineage: Eukaryota; Metazoa; Chordata; Mammalia; Rodentia; Cricetidae.
CUGGGAGAAAGGGGAGUGACCAGUCCACAAGAACCUCCUGACUCGAUCUUUUGUAGGCUCGGCAUCGUAGUGUCAGCCCCUGCAUCUCCCUCAGUUUACCUGGCCUGGGGCAGGAUGAGAGGACCACCACCCCCCAUCUUGAUGCCUAUCCCUAGAGGUCAAGAGAGAAGCCAGAUGGAGCCAGGCUGAACAACAGUUCUUUGCACUUGCAGUUUAUCUGCCUAGAAUUCUUCCAUCAAGAGGAAUAUGACCAAGGUUCUGAGUAGUAGAGGAGGAUUUGAACCAGGAUCUCAACAUGGAGUCCGUUUACUCCA